UCCUGUGCUUGCACACAGGCUUCUUGGUGGCGGCAGCAGCAGCUUUAGCGUCUCAUGCCUGUCUCUGGGGUCCGUGCUGAUAGCCGCGGCUCGUGCCCAUCUCUGGAGCUCCUUCAAGCGGUGCUUUUAAUCCCCUCUCCUCGCGCACCAGGAAACAAAGAGGCAAGAAAAGGUCUCUUGUCUCUUCGGCAGCUCCAGCCUUUUUCCGGACUCUCUCCCGGCUAGCUAUGGCGCACUAGCCCCCUUCAGGCUGGGUUCACGCCGCCAACCCCAGUCCUCUCCCUGGGAUCCGACCGAAGCCCGAGCCUCAUCUCACAGCCCCCGCCCGCCGCAGCAGGUGAGCAGAGAAGUCUCUCAGUCUGGGCUGGAGGUGACUGGGGCUGGUGACAGAAGCAUUCACCAUUGCGUCCACUGCUGCGGGCAUCCUCAAUGACACCAUCCUCUGUAAAGCAUCGGUCUGUGGCCCCAAAGAGGUAACUUGUGACCACUAACAGUUGCUGCUCUUGAAUUCUGUGCAGACAUUUCUGAAGCCCCCGGAUAAGGCAGGAGCAGCUGUGAACCAAGUACAGUAAUGGUUGCCAGAUGCUGUUUCUUGACCACCGGGAAGGCAUGGUGUUGAGACAGGCAGGCCCCGGAAGGUGAAUGGUCUCUGCUGCAGAGAAACCUGAUUCCUGCUCAAAUGAUGAUGACCAGGUGUAUGUAACAGUGUCCCUCCUUCAAGCCAUCUGAUCCCACUGAUUCAUCAAGUGCUCAAUGGCCUCUGCGGUGUUCCGUCUCUUCAAAGUCCAGGAGAAUCUUUCCUCGGAGCAGAUGUUGAACCCAGGUCAUCUGGGAGAACACCAGGCAAACUCACCAAUAUAAGAUGACCGAAAAGCAGUCUGUGAGGAAAGAUCCUUUUACAAGAUUUUAAGCAGAGGUCUUGUAAUUAUAAGGAGGUUUGAAAAGCAUUGCUGACAGAUGCCCUUCGCACACUGCAUUGCCAGCGUGGUGCUACAGGGGACACGCUGACAGAUUUGCACAGGUCUUUUUUGUGGUCCACGGAAGGAAACCCAGGCUCCUUUGUGUUUUAAGCCUUCAUUCGGCAUCCUGGUCCAGUGAGAAGGAAGAGGAUCCGCAUCAAACCCUGGACAGGGUCUCCCUGGCUGCCUUUCAAGUCGGUGAUGCCUUCAAGCCUUUAGGAAUGGAUUUCAAUUCAUAUGUUGAGCAGCUACCUGAUUGGGCUCUGUCUCCAGCCCUGCCUCCUAGCACAGGCUCCAGACGCGCAGGCUCAGAAAUUGUGGCUCACGGGCCUAGUUGCUCCGCGGCAUGUGGGAUCUUCCCAGACCAGGGCUCGAACCCGUGUCCCCUGCAUUGGCAGGCAGAUUCUCAACCACUGCAC
Balaenoptera acutorostrata (minke whale) is the source of this 1378-nucleotide long non-coding RNA. RefSeq lists it as uncharacterized. NCBI's taxonomy places the organism in Eukaryota, Metazoa, Chordata, Mammalia, Artiodactyla, Balaenopteridae. The record is from RefSeq and is a predicted model, not a curated record. The transcript has 10 exons.